AUUGAACGCUGGCGGCAGGCUUAACACAUGCAAGUCGAGCGGGGGAAGGUAGCUUGCUACCGGACCUAGCGGCGGGCGGGUGAGUAAUGCUUAGGAAUCUGCCUAUUAGUGGGGGACGACAUCUCGAAAGGGAUGCUAAUACCGCAUACGUCCUACGGGAGAAAGCAGGGGAUCUUCGGACCUUGCGCUAAUAGAUGAGCCUAAGUCGGAUUAGCUAGUUGGUGGGGUAAAGGCCUACCAAGGCGACGAUCUGUAGCGGGUCUGAGAGGAUGAUCCGCCACACUGGGACUGAGACACGGCCCAGACUCCUACGGGAGGCAGCAGUGGGGAAUAUUGGACAAUGGGGGGAACCCUGAUCCAGCCAUGCCGCGUGUGUGAAGAAGGCCUUAUGGUUGUAAAGCACUUUAAGCGAGGAGGAGGCUACUUUAGUUAAUACCUAGAGAUAGUGGACGUUACUCGCAGAAUAAGCACCGGCUAACUCUGUGCCAGCCGCCGCAGUAA
This 501-nucleotide ribosomal RNA is filed under the name uncultured bacterium. RNAcentral's name for it is "partial 16S ribosomal RNA". It matches the Rfam family "Bacterial small subunit ribosomal RNA", at positions 30 to 523 of the family's 1533-position model. The record is from RNAcentral.